RNAcentral lists this ribosomal RNA (108 nucleotides) under Castor canadensis (American beaver). Lineage: Eukaryota; Metazoa; Chordata; Mammalia; Rodentia; Castoridae. The record is from RNAcentral.
UGUCAUGGCCAUACAACUCUGAACAUGCCUGAUCUCAUAAGCUAAGUAGGGUCGGGCCUGGUUAGUACUUCGAUGGGAGAAAUCACAAAUCUCAGACUACUGUAAUAU